This 536-nucleotide ribosomal RNA is filed under the name Microcottus sellaris. RNAcentral describes it as "partial 16S ribosomal RNA". It matches the Rfam family "Bacterial large subunit ribosomal RNA", at positions 130 to 1040 of the family's 2925-position model. Lineage: Eukaryota; Metazoa; Chordata; Actinopteri; Perciformes; Cottidae. The record is from RNAcentral.
GCCCAACAGCUAGCCCACCUAAACAAUUACAACAUCCCCUUGUUAAUAACCCCUAAAUACCCCAGUAUUUAAACUAACCAAACCAUUUUUCCCCCUUAGUAUAGGCGAUAGAAAAGGGACCACGGCGCAAUAGAGAAAGUACCGCAAGGGAAUGCUGAAAGAGAAAUGAAACAACCCAGUAAAGCCCCAAAAAGCAGAGCUUUAACCUCGUACCUUUUGCAUCAUGAUUUAGCGAGUGUACCCCAAGCAAAGAGCACUUUAGUUUGGCGUCCCGAAACUACGUGAGCUACUCCAAGACAGCCUAUUAAUAGGGCACACCCGUCUCUGUUGCAAAAGAGUGGGGAGAGCUUUGAGUAGAGGUGACAAACCUACCGAACCUAGUUAUAGCUGGUUGUCCAAGAAAUGAAUAGAAGUUCAGCCUCUUGGCUUCUCUUUUCACCCUAGUUUAACCCCUAUUGAUGCCCUGAAGAAACCGAGAGAGUUAGUCAAAGGGGGUACAGCCCCUUUGAAUCAAGACACAACUUUAGCAGGAGGGU